UGAUAGGAACACACUUUCUCUCUCUCUCUCUCCCUCUCUCCCUCUCUCUCCCUCCCUCUCCCUCUCUCUCCCUCUCUCUCCCUCUCUCUCCCUCCCUCCCUCCCUCCUCCUCUCCCUCUCCUCUCUCUCUCUCCCCACUUCAUUCAAUUACAUCCAUUCAAGUACUAGUGUCUUUUUGCUUCUCUUAAUCCUGUGGUGGAAAUGAACUUAGAAUGUUCCCCUCGGCUCCCUCAAACCAAACUACCAAAUGAAUAAAAAAAGAAAAACAAAACCAACCCACAAAAAAACUAAAAAACAAGAACUGAGGUUUCUUGUCAAGCAAGUUCAUUGUGCAUUUAAGCACUUUUGUGUCUUGGCUUGCCAAGAUCCUGAGGUGUAGAAUCUGCUAAUGGGAGGGAACAUGAUAUGUAAUAGCGUGGCUGGCUGAGUCAUCUCGAUAGAAAAGUCCUCUGCACUCAGCUAUGAGAUGCCUCUAGGCAUUUCUGUAAUUGCCUGAGUUGCCACAUAGACUGAGAAUCAUGAGGCAAGAGUAUUUAUAUCUCUCAGCCAGGCAAGAAUUCCUGUACUCAGAAGAAGUGCCUACACCAGAGCUGCAGCCACAGUGACCUUCAUUUGCCUAGGGUUGUUAGGGUGCCAUGGAAAAAUAGGCUGAGUGUAUAGAAGCCUAAGUUAUUUGAAAAGCUGGAAUGAAAUGUACGGAAUCAAAAAUAAAACCUGGAAAAAGGGAGCGGGGGUGAGGGCUCAGAGCUUGCUCUGAAAGUUGCUUGACUGAGUUGGUGCCCUAGAAAGGUCACAGAGAUUGAGGGAGAGAAGUGACUCCAUGUAAUUGUCCUUUAACCUCCAAGGGCAUGCAUAUGAGCCCCAGCAAUAAUAACAGUCUUAAAAAACACAUCAUCUCUGAAGAGUUGCUCUUCUACCCAGCCAUCCAUUCUAAAACAAUUAUCUCUUAAUAUCACUGGGUAGUGGUAUCUGCUUUCUGCUUUUACUAUCUCCCACCAGAGACACCAUCAAAAUGUCUUCCUUAGGAAACCUGAGGUGCUCUUAACUACACACACAUGAGUGCUCAGACAAGGCUAAUUCCUUUUGAUUUCUAUGAGAUAGACAUCCCAACUUAAGCAAUAAUGGGACUCCUGAUAUUAAAAUAUGGGCUUUAAAAAGCAAAAGUUGGCCAAGCUCUGUUCUGCUUUCCACCUUUGAAGACAUACCUUUCGCGCUGAUGCUGCGGAGAUCUGUGAUUUUCAUUAAGAUCUUUGGAAACAUGUGAGGCUUGCUGGGUCGUCGUUUUCUAAUGUAAAUCUUUAGUGCUUCCAGCAGUGGUUCUUGGAGCUUGUCUACUUUUGUUGGUUCCUCAAGGUCCUGGCGGUCUGGAUAGCAGGAGAAAGUAUUCAGUGUUUAGUGAUCAGACAGGCUCAGAGACUGCUGGCUAUCUUUCCUUGUCUCCUAUUCCUCCUGUAAAGUGGCUUUAUUUGGUGACUCAGUUGUACACUAAAUUGAGUAAAUGCAAUUGCUUUAAGCAGUGACACUUGAAGAUGCCCCCUUAGUAAGCUCAUUUGAUGUCCACUUGCUCAGGCCCAGAGGCAAGAAUUACCUCUCAUGGCCAGAUGGUGUCAGUAUUGAGCUGAACAAAAGAACCCUGGGCAGCCUGUAAAAGCCAGGUAGAUAACCUUUCCCCUUCAUUACAACCAUUACUUUUGAACUAAAGUUGGCUUCUGGUUAGCCAGCAGGGGUCACUACAAAGAAGGGGCCAUACUUUAUUCCAGCCCACCAGGUAGGCACCUGUAUGGUGGGGAAGACCAAGAGGUGAUUUGAAUUCAAAUAACAUGUGAUUUGUGUAGGUCAUCACUAAAAUGUCCUUAGGCACACAGCAGUACAAUCCUGCUUUUACAAAAGCACCUGUUUCCCACAAGAGAAACAGAACAAACUCAUUUUGGCAUUUCUUUUGUUUUGGCAGAAGGAGCUCAAACACCAGUACUUAGUUUGCAACAGAAAGAAGUACAACGCCUUUCUCAUGCCAAAGAACCCCAGUGGAGAUCUCUUCUGUGCCUUUGUAAUUGCUCUGUUGGGGUCUGGUGACGGUUUCUAAGGAGUCAGUACCUCCACAGAUUAAACAGAUGGCACUGAGAAGGCCUGUUUCUGUGUCAUCCAUUUCCAAAGGCAGGAGCUGGUUGGCAAAGGUGAACACAAGGUCAGUCAGAGGACCGAAGCCAGCAUUGUGCAUCUGAGUUCGAUUUAGUGUAAGGCCAUCAGAGAAAGUCAUGGUGUCUUGCUCUGGGGUAUACCUGGUACAAAUUCUGAGAAUCUG
This 2302-nucleotide long non-coding RNA is filed under the name Mus musculus (house mouse). Its description in RNAcentral is "long non-coding RNA chr14:16432959-16435261". Lineage: Eukaryota; Metazoa; Chordata; Mammalia; Rodentia; Muridae. The record is from RNAcentral.